CCCUAGUAACUGCGAGUGAAGCGGGAAAAGCUCAAAUUUAAAAUCUGGCAGUUUCACUGUCCGAGUUGUAAUCUAGAGAAGUGUUAUCCGCGCUGGACCGUGUACAAGUCUCCUGGAAUGGAGCGUCAUAGAGGGUGAGAAUCCCGUCUUUGACACGGACUGCCAGGGCUUUGUGAUGCGCUCUCAAAGAGUCGAGUUGUUUGGGAAUGCAGCUCAAAAUGGGUGGUAAAUUCCAUCUAAAGCUAAAUAUUGGCGAGAGACNGAUAGCGAACAAGUACCGUGAGGGAAAGAUGAAAAGAACUUUGGAAAGAGAGUUAAACAGUACGUGAAAUUGCUGAAAGGGAAACGCUUGAAGUCAGUCGCGUUGGCCGGGAAUCAACCUUGCUUUUGCUGGGCGUAUUUUCUAGUCGACGGGUCAACAUCAGUUUUGACCGUUGGAUAAAGGCAUGGGGAAUGUGGCAUCUCGGAUGUGUUAAUAGCCCUGUGUCGCAUACAACGGUUGGGACUGAGGAACUCAGCGCGCCCGCAAGGCCGGGUCUUUGACCACGUUCGCGCUUAGGAUGUUGGCAUAAUGGCUUUAAUCGACCCGUCUUGAAACACGGACCAAGGAGUCUAACAUGCCUGCGAGUGUUUGGGUGGAAAACCCGAGCGCGUAAUGAAAGUGAAAGUUGAGAUCCCUGUCGUGGGGAGCAUCGACGCCCGGACCAGACCUUCUGUGACGGAUCCGCGGUAGAGCAUGUAUGUUGGGACCC
This 752-nucleotide ribosomal RNA is filed under the name Flammulaster limulatus. RNAcentral's name for it is "eukaryotic LSU rRNA". It matches the Rfam family "Eukaryotic large subunit ribosomal RNA", at positions 78 to 817 of the family's 3401-position model. Lineage: Eukaryota; Fungi; Basidiomycota; Agaricomycetes; Agaricales; Tubariaceae. The record is from RNAcentral.